RNAcentral lists this ribosomal RNA (274 nucleotides) under uncultured bacterium. RNAcentral describes it as "partial 16S ribosomal RNA". It matches the Rfam family "Bacterial small subunit ribosomal RNA", at positions 523 to 796 of the family's 1533-position model. The record is from RNAcentral.
AUACGGGGGGGGCGAGCGUUGUUCGGAAUUACUGGGCGUAAAGGGCGCGUAGGCGGUCCGAGAAGUUUCGGGUGAAAGCCCCGGGCUCAACCCGGGAAGGUCCCGGAAAACCAUCGGACUGGAGUGCUGGAGAGGCAAGCGGAAUUUCUGGUGUAGCGGUGAAAUGCGUAGAUAUCAGAAGGAACAUCGGAGGCGAAGGCGGCUUGCUGGACAGCAACUGACGCUGAGGCGCGAAAGCCAGGGGAGCGAACGGGAUUAGAUACCCCAGUAGUCC